AGGGUUUGAUUAUGGCUCAGGACGAACGCUGGCGGCACGCUUAACACAUGCAAGUCGAACGGAGAACAUUGAGCUUGCUUAAUGUUCUUAGUGGCGGACGGGUGAGUAACACGUGAGUAACCUGCCUCUGAGAGUGGGAUAGCUUCUGGAAACGGAUGGUAAUACCGCAUAACAUCAUGGAUUCGCAUGUUUCUAUGAUCAAAGAUUUAUCGCUCAGAGAUGGACUCGCGUCUGAUUAGCUAGUUGGUAAGGUAACGGCUUACCAAGGCGACGAUCAGUAGCCGGACUGAGAGGUUGAUCGGCCACAUUGGGACUGAGACACGGCCCAG
RNAcentral lists this ribosomal RNA (329 nucleotides) under uncultured bacterium. Its description in RNAcentral is "bacterial SSU rRNA". It matches the Rfam family "Bacterial small subunit ribosomal RNA", at positions 8 to 334 of the family's 1533-position model. The record is from RNAcentral.